GGCUACUACAUCUAAGGAAGGCAGCAGGCGCGCAAAUUACCCAAUCCCCACGGGGAGGUAGUGACAAUAAAUACUGAUACAGGGCUCUUUUGGGUCUUGUAAUCGGAAUGAGUACAAUUUAAAUCCCUUAACGAGGAACCAGUGGAGGGCAAGUCUGGUGCCAGCAGCCGCGGUAAUACCAGCUCCACUAGCGUAUAUUAAAGUUGUUGUGGUUAAAAAGCUCGUAGUUGAACCUAGUGGUCUACUGUCUUCUGUCCUCACCGAUGGAAGAUUGGUGGGCCACCACCGGUCGUGAUGGUAACGUCACGGCCACGAUUACUUUGAAAAAAUUAGAGUGCUCCAGGCAGGCUUAUGCUCGAAUAGUUCAGCAUGGAAUAAUAAAAUAGGACGUGGGGUUCUAUUUUGUUGGUUUCUAGGACCAGCGUAAUGAUGAAUAGGGACAGUCGGGGGCAUCCGU
This 457-nucleotide ribosomal RNA is filed under the name Cornuvesica falcata. RNAcentral describes it as "SSU rRNA". It matches the Rfam family "Eukaryotic small subunit ribosomal RNA", at positions 405 to 895 of the family's 1831-position model. The record is from RNAcentral. Lineage: Eukaryota; Fungi; Ascomycota; Sordariomycetes; Ophiostomatales; Ophiostomataceae.